GCCCCGCUCAGCCGCGCGGGGGGACGCAGUGGCAGCGCCUGGCGCUGUGAGCGACGCGCCCCGGGGGGGGGUGAUGCGAUGCUGAGCACUGACGGCCUCCGGGCUGCGCACGCGGGGCUCGGUGAGCUCACUGUGCAGCUAAACGACGAGAGCGACGCGUCGUGCUUAGGAAAUACGUUGGAUAUUGUGGGUCUGUAAAGGAAAAGAAGGAAAAAAGCGUUUUGUUUCAUGGACCGUGAGCAGAUAACGUAUCACGCGGUCACGCAUUGGGGAUGGUGACGCUGAUGCCCGAGAUGGCCCCGGGCGGCCGCGGGAUGACGGCAAUCCCGGGGACCCCGCACCGCGCCCGGCUCACAGCCGGGGAGGAGGAGGAAGAGAAUGAAGGCAGCGGUGCCCAUUGGGCCUCGGGGCACUCCGUGGCCAUGGAGGUGGCGUGCGCGGCCCACGCUCCCGUCUUUACGGUGAGCAGCAUGGUGGCCCCCUGCAGCCUCCGCCGCGGCCCCGAAGCACCGGGAGCCUUCGUGCUGGGGCUGCCGGGGCGGGGGCUGCUGCUGGACUCACAGCCGCCCCUCACCUCCGUGGAGAACCUGCGCCUCGGCUUCGCCGCCGGCAUCCUCAUCCUCAUCGUCGCCACCUUCUUCCUGCUCGUCUUCCUCAAGUAGUGACGGAGGGCUCAGGGCCAGCACUGCGGCCCCCACCGUCCCCCGCUGGGGCCCGUCUCGCCUCCAGGCAGCCAACACGGACCCACGGCGGGGUCAGGAAUUCGGGCUCAGCCUCAGCGCGCGCAUCGGAUCCUGGUGAGGUGGGGAGAGGACGGGGGCUCCGCUUCCCACCGGAUCAGCCCCGCGCUGUGGGAGCUGCAGUGCACUCAGCCGUGGCCACGCGGCACCGACGUGGGCCCCAGGGCAUCAGACUUACUAAAAAUUAACAGAUUUCAGCGCUUUCCUUUACCCCCUGGGACCUGGCUGUGCUCACGCUGCGUUUAUGACUUUCCCGGAGCCUCCAGCCAUCCCAGCAGUGGGAGUCACAGCGCCCUGGAACAUUCCUUGGGCUGCAUCCACACAUGGCAUCCAGAAGCUGCCGUGGCUGCGCUCACCCGCAGUGUGCUGAGGGCGAUCCACAGCGAUCUGCGGUACCUCCGUGCACUUCAGGGGUCAGAGAUGGGCAUCACCCAUCCCACGCGGCUGUGAGGACCACGGGAGAUGGGAUGGGAAAGGGCUGUGCUGUUUUUCUGUCGGUGAAAUGUUAAACAACUUCCUGUGCUUUCUCCUCGCGCUGCUCAGAGCAGAGCCACGGCCCCCACUCUGGCUGUAUGCACAGGGAUGGGGCAUCUGGGGAAAGGCAGCUGGGAAAGAUAUUAAAAAUGCACAUUGGUCCA
Molecule: long non-coding RNA, 1378 nt
Organism: Gallus gallus (chicken)
Lineage: Eukaryota; Metazoa; Chordata; Aves; Galliformes; Phasianidae
Source: Ensembl